This is an RNA transcript of Vespa mandarinia (Asian giant hornet), 4433 nucleotides long. It is a transcript of the gene named SRY-box transcription factor soxNeuro, with no coding region annotated. Lineage: Eukaryota; Metazoa; Arthropoda; Insecta; Hymenoptera; Vespidae. The record is from RefSeq and is a predicted model, not a curated record.
CAGCAGCAGCCGCCUCGGCAGGAAGUGAGCCCCGAGUGUUAGAGCCCAAGGCGAAACCCACGAAUGCUCAGACGGUUCUGUCCUUUCGUGGAGAGUGGAGGUCGGCUUCUUCUUUUCUUGUGUGUUAAUCUACGACGUGUGAGAAACGAAAGAAAAAAAAAAACGCGUGCCAAGCGUGUAUUGUGCACACGCAGCGCCUCUCAUACGCAUCAUACACACGGAUACGGAUACGUAUUGUAUACACACUGAGAGAAAAAGAGAGAGAGAGAGAGAAGAGAAAGAGGGUGAGAGAAGAGAAGGAAGAGAGAGAGAGAGAGAGAGAGAGAGAGAGAGAGAAGAGAAGAGAAGAGAAGAGAAAAAUCGAGCUCUCUUGUGUUGAUGGUGUGAUCAUCGUCGGUGAAUAGUAGUAAGAGGCUUCGGUAUCACAAGGUGUCAACAAUACGUCGUCGUUGUUAUCUGUUAUUCUCUUCUGUGGCGUCGUCGAUUACGAGGACCGCCGGUGACGCGUCGUCAUCGUCGUCUCCUUCUUGUGGUGUUCCCUCAGUGUGUCAUUUACUUACUUUUCAGUGAGAAAUCUUUCUUAAUAUACGAAAACAACACAACGAACGAUAAUAUUAGACAUUGAAGAAGAGAAAGAAGAAGAAGAAGAAGAUAAGAAGAAAAGAAAGAAAAAGAAAACAACAACAACAACAAUAAUAACAGUAAUUUUAACGAACGAGUAAUGCGCGCGCGUCAAUUCUACGUAUAAAAAGAGUGCGCGAAGUUUGUGAGGGAUUGUGAUUUGUCGAAAAAAAAACUCUUAUAUCGGAUCAUUCAUGAUUUUAAUUUCGUUAUGAAAAAAAAAACAGACUCUAAGUGAAAUUCGGCUUCGAAGAAAGAGAUAUUAUAGGGAGGGAGAGAGAUAGAUAGAUAGAUAGAGAGAGAGAGAGAGAGAGAGAGAGAGAGAGAGAGAGAGAAAAGAAAAAAAAGAACAAGUAGUGACCGGAACGCGCUACGGCUCAAGGAAAUCGAGAAGCGGCGCGCAGUUGUGCGCGAGAUCUCAUCGGCGGCGUGUCGAGGCUUUCUUUGACGUAGCACGGUUAAAGAAAACGGCGGCAAACUGUACGGCCACAGGGAGGACGACAUGCUCACGAUGGAGACGGACCUAAAAGGCGGUAGCCUGCAUGGUCAGAUGCCACCGCAUCCGCACCAAGGUGUAUCGCCGAUGGGUCACCAUACCGGCGUGUCGCCUUACGGAACACUAGGUUCCAUAGUUCAUAGUCCAGCCCUAUCUGGAAGUCCACCUAGCAGUAGUACCCUAGGAUUAGGUCUGCAGCAUCAUCAUCAACCGCAGCAUCAUUAUGCUUCGAUGCAGGCGGCAGCUGCUGCAGCCCAACAGCAGCAGCAACAGCAACAACAACAGCAACAACAACAACAACAGCAGCAGCAGCAACAACAAAACAUGCAUACCCUUGCGGCUCAGCAAAGUGCCGCACAACAGCAACAUCAUCCCCAUCAGCAACCGCAACAACCACAGCAGCAACAAUCCCAAAAUCAACAUCAUCAGCCACCAAAUAAUAAUAAUAAUACGAAUAAGAACAAUAAUAUAGACAGAGUAAAAAGGCCAAUGAACGCUUUUAUGGUCUGGUCCCGUGGUCAGCGACGUAAGAUGGCUCAAGAGAAUCCCAAGAUGCACAAUUCUGAGAUUUCUAAACGCUUAGGAGCCGAAUGGAAAUUACUUAGCGAAACGGAAAAACGUCCGUUUAUUGACGAAGCAAAGCGAUUGCGUGCGGUGCACAUGAAAGAGCACCCGGACUACAAGUAUCGUCCAAGAAGAAAAACGAAAACACUUUUGAAAAAAGACAAGUUCCCGCUCGGCGGCGGUGUCGGAGGAGUUGGCGUUGGCGUUGGUGUCGGUGGCAUAUUAGGGGUAGAUCAAAGACAAGUCGGUAGUACGGGUGGGCCCCAGCAAGGACAGAUAUCCCGAGAGGUCUAUCAGAUGCCUAACGGAUAUAUGCCGAAUGGUUAUAUGAUGCACGAUCCGACGGCCGCUGCGUAUCAGCAGCACGUUGCCUAUGGUGGUCACAUGGGUGGAGCGGCGGCAGCCGCGGCCGCUGCUGGAUAUCCAAGAUAUGAUAUGGGACAUCAUAUGGGUGGUGGCAGUCCACCAAUAAACAGUUAUAUGAAUGGAUAUGGUGGUUACGCUGGAACCACUGUACCCGGCGGCUCACCUUCGCCCUAUCAUCAGCCUCAAUCUGGAUCCCAAAUGUCCAGCCACAGUCCUAGCGGCAGCAGUAUAAAAUCUGAGCCAACGAGUCCUGCGAGUGCUGGUAUACAUACUCCCACACCUACCAGCGGACCGGGCGCCUCGAGCGCAGCGUCUGGUCCGCAACAGCAGCAACAGGCGCAACAACAACAAGCUGCUGCUGCUGCUGCUGCCGCCGCCGUUAAACGUGAAUAUAUGGGCCAACAAACCCAUCAAACUCAUCAAUCUCAGGGAGAUCUUAGACAGAUGAUAUCCAUGUAUUUGCCGCAAGGCGUCGACCAAGGGGUCGUCCAACAUGGUGCUGGUGUCUAUUCUCCAGGUCCAUCACCGGAUCCUUUGGCGCAACAUCACUCGAUACCACCCCUCAGUCAUAUGUCUGAAAGUGAUCGAAAAAUGUUGAAUCCAGAAACCGGUUGUUAUUCGGAAUCCGUACGAGCAUGGGAUUGGAACGCGACGGGCAACGUGCGCGUACAAGAGUCCUGGCCGACGUGAGCGGAUUUCGCCGCGGCUAACUCGAACUUCUCCAACGACGAAGGAUCAGGAUCCUUGAUUGUUUCGCGCCUCACGGUAUCAAUGCCCGGAGGAAACAUACAGGAUGCCCGUGGACUAUUAUAGUGCCAGAUCGACUUCGUCUAGGAGAUACUUCGUUAACGAUUAAGAUAAUUUCGACGAGUAUUAGGAAGAUGGAAGUGGUGUGGGUGGUGUGGGUGCGUGCGUGUGUGUGCGUGUGCGUGUGCGUGCAUUUGACGAAACAAACGAUAUGAUUAACGUAUAUACGAUGUAUAACGUAACUCGGGUGAUUCGGUUUAAUAGAUUAUAUAUUAAACGAUGUAAAUAUCGGUGUGCAAUAAGUCGAUACUUCCUCGUUUAUGAUAGGCGAGAAAGUCCUUGUUAUUAUCACCGUUACGGUUAGCAUUACGAACCAUUAUCGUUACGGAGCAUCGCUUAUCAUUAUCGUAUCUGCCGUGAAGAGGAGGAACUCGUUGAAUUAUUCAUGCGGCGUUUAUGACGGAAUCUUUUUUCUUUUUUUUCUUCUUUUUUUCUUUUUGUUAGAUUAAAAGUGUGAAAGAGAGAGAGAGAGAGAGAGAAUGAAACAGAGAGUGUAUGAGAGAAUAAGAGAGAGAGAGAGAGAGAGAGAAGUACGUAGAGUGAAUGAGAGGGUCGCGCGAGUCUCGGGUAACCGUUCGCGCGCUUCGUUAUAAAUCAUCGCAUGACGUAUGUACAUACGUUAAGGAGCCAACUCAGAUUUUCUUUCCAUCCUUUUUUUCCUUUAUUUUUCUUUUCUUUUUAUUUUUUUCUUCCUCGAGCUCCUUCACUCGCGAAAGAAGAAUCCUUUGCAUAUCGAAGAGCGAUGCGACCAUUCCGAGAAGACCGAAAAAGACACAUAUAGACAUGCAUACAUAUAUAUAUAUAUAUACAUAUAUAUAUAUAUAUAUGUAUGCAUGUAUGUAUGUAUGUAUGCGUUCACAACCACCCAUUAUGAAAACACAGAAACACACAUUAUAGCGUCUUCGUGUUAACAUGUAUAUUUCUUCUGUAAAUAAAUUAUUCGUGAUAAUCGCUGCGAGUGAUGCGACACAUAUUUUAAUUAUUACGUUUGAUUAUUACCAAACCGAGUUAUAAUAUCCUCGGCCUAGCGAUCGACACGACUGUCUUACAAUUGAUAUAGAUUUAUUAUUAUUAAGUAAAAUAUUAAUGUAGUAAGAUUAGUAGUACAUGCUCGUUGAUUUAUCGUGAAACGUUUCGUUGUAAGCCGAUCUCUCGAGAUAAAUCGUAGGUGAUAAGGGAGUAUCGAUUUUACACGAAGGAGGAGAUCGAUUUAAAUGAACGAGCUACGCGAUAAGGUGUGUUACAUAAAAGAUUCCCGUGAGUGAGAGGAGAACCCGAGGAAUCGAUCUUGUAACAGCAUGGAUAUAAACGAAAAUAGUCGGCGAACGUAACGAUCAACAUCAAGAAACAUGUUUAUUCGAUCUAUAAUAUGAGUUAAAGAAAGGAUUCAACUAGGAGCGAACGAACAUAAGUAAAUUUUUACCUUUCAUGCGAAAUAACACGUUCACGUGUCUCGUUCAACAAUUCGCACGUAUGAUCGCAAUAAAGGCCGUGCAAAGAUAACAAUAGACGAGCUUUUGUUGUUACUACGAAUAUUUCCCUACAUUUGUAUCAUAAUCGAGAAUUAAUUCUUUCAUUA